RNAcentral lists this ribosomal RNA (463 nucleotides) under uncultured bacterium. RNAcentral's name for it is "partial 16S ribosomal RNA". It matches the Rfam family "Bacterial small subunit ribosomal RNA", at positions 28 to 507 of the family's 1533-position model. The record is from RNAcentral.
GAUGAACGCUGACAGAAUGCUUAACACAUGCAAGUCUUUGGCGAAGCUGUGCUUGCACAGCCUAGCCAAGGCGGACGGGUGAGUAACGCGUAAGGAACUUGCCCUGCAGUCAGGGAUAACAGACGGAAACGACUGAUAAGACCUGGUAAAGUCAGGCGGACUCAUGUCCAGCCUGAUGAAAAGAGAUGCUGCAGGAGAACCUUGCGUCCUAUUAGCUUGUUGGUGGGGUAACGGCCCACCAAGGCGAUGAUAGGUAGCCGGCCUGAGAGGGUGGACGGCCACAAGGGGACUGAGAUACGGCCCUUACUCCUACGGGAGGCAGCAGUGGGGAAUAUUGGACAAUGGGGGCAACCCUGAUCCAGCAAUUCUGUGUGCACGAUGAAGGUUUUCGGAUUGUAAAGUGCUUUCAGCAGGGAAGAAAAAAAUGACGGUACCUGCAGAAGAAGCGACGGCUAAAUACGUG